CGGCGAGUAGCGCAGUUUGGUAGCGCACUUGGUUUGGGUCCAAGGGGUCGCAGGUUCAAAUCCUGUCUCGCCGACCA
Molecule: transfer RNA, 77 nt
Filed under: Aliidiomarina halalkaliphila
Lineage: Bacteria; Pseudomonadati; Pseudomonadota; Gammaproteobacteria; Alteromonadales; Idiomarinaceae
Description: Aliidiomarina sp. IM1326 tRNA-Pro
Rfam family: tRNA
About the family: Transfer RNA (tRNA) molecules are approximately 80 nucleotides in length.
Source: RNAcentral